Arachis ipaensis is the source of this 804-nucleotide non-coding RNA. NCBI's taxonomy places the organism in Eukaryota, Viridiplantae, Streptophyta, Magnoliopsida, Fabales, Fabaceae. The record is from RefSeq and is a predicted model, not a curated record.
UAAAUAUCAUGUAAUUAAUACUUUUUUUUUUACUUUUAAGAGUUUAAAAACAAUAGCCAAUAAAUUAUAGCUCAAAUGAUAUAGUCUUUCCAUACACAUUUAAGAAAUUGUGGAUUCGAAUCUCUCUAUCUUUGGUUAAAAAAAAUUUAAAAAUAAUAAAUAAUUUAUAUUUUCGACACGACACACGUAUACACUCGUUUGACACACGACACACAUAUACACUCGUGGGACACACAUAUCUCUCGUAUCCAAAAUAUCUUGUCCAAAAAAAAUAAAAAAUUGCCAAACACGGGUGGACAUGGCCCACUUGGUUAAAAAUGUAAAUUUUCCUGAUUUUACAAAGCUACAGACCCAAAUUUAACUCUAAUUUUUUUCCCUUCCCUCGAAACCCAGCCUGUGUCAUGUUCACCCACUCACUCUCAACCUCUACUCUCACUGUCGUUACAUCCGUUUGUCGCCGAUGUAGAAUGCUUGUCCCUCGUUUGCUCCCUGGCGUCAAUCUUAAUCUCGUUCACCAUUGGUCUCGUGUUUGUCGCGCUACUCCCGAGCUCAUUUCUGCUGGAACUGUGCUCGUCGCCGCUGGGUCGUGCUUGUCGCGGCUGGGGUCCCGCUUGUUGCCGCUGGGGUCGUGCUCGCCGCUGGAACCGUGCUCGUCGCCGAUGGAACACUUCCGGUGAACGCGGAUCGGAUCCAAUAUCCACAAUUUUUAAGCUAGGAUCUAAUCCGGAUCGGAUGUCGGAUAUAUCUGCAAAAUACAAAAAUAUUUUUAAAAUUUUAUUUUUUAUUAAAAAAUAUCAAUAAAAU